CAGCCGCCGCGGGAAUACGAAGGGUGCAAGCGUUAAUCGGAAUUACUGGGCGUAAAGCGCGCGUAGGUGGUUUGGUAAGAUGGAUGUGAAAUCCCCGGGCUCAACCUGGGAACUGCAUCCAUAACUGCCUGACUAGAGUACGGUAGAGGGUGGUGGAAUUUCCUGUGUAGCGGUGAAAUGCGUAGAUAUAGGAAGGAACACCAGUGGCGAAGGCGACCACCUGGACUGAUACUGACACUGAGGUGCGAAAGCGUGGGGAGCAAACAGGAUUAGAUACCCCCGUAGUCCCUGUCUCUUAUAC
Molecule: ribosomal RNA, 301 nt
Filed under: uncultured bacterium
Lineage: Bacteria
Description: partial 16S ribosomal RNA
Rfam family: Bacterial small subunit ribosomal RNA
Source: RNAcentral